Molecule: ribosomal RNA, 1171 nt
Filed under: Chrysis sickmanni
Lineage: Eukaryota; Metazoa; Arthropoda; Insecta; Hymenoptera; Chrysididae
Description: partial 16S ribosomal RNA
Source: RNAcentral
AUUUAAAAUUAAUUUGAAUUUUUUUAGAAAAUUUAAUUAAAUUUAAAUAAAAAUUUAGAAUUUUAUAAUUUUUUAGUAUAAAUUAGAAAAAAUAAAUUAUAAUUUAUUUAUUGUAAAAGUAAUUUAAAAUUUAAAAAAGAAAAUUUAAUUUAUUGUACCUUUUGUAUCAGGGGUUAUUAAAAUUAAAUAUUAAAAUUAAUAUAUCUCGAAUUAAAAAGAGUUAAUUUAAUAUAAUAGUUAAUGUAAAAAAAUUAUUAUAAAUAUUAAAUUGGAAAUGAAAUGUUAUUCGAUUUUUAAGAUAUCUAGUUUUUUAAUAUAAAAAUUUAAUUUUUUUAUAAGUUUAAUUAUAAAUUAUUAAAAAAUUUAUAAUUAUUUUAUAAUAAAGAAUUUAUGGGAUAAACUAUGAGUUUAAAUUAAAUAGUAUUUUAUUAAUUAAAAAUUUAGAGAUUAGAAUUUUUAAAAUUUAAGAGUUUAUAAUAAUUUAUUAAUUUAGAAAAUUUAAUUUUUAAAUUUAUUAAUUUAAUAUUAAAAUAAAUUUAUAAAUUUAAUAUAAUUUAUAAUAAUGAUAGUAUUAGUAUAAUAAAAUGUUAAAUUAAUUAGUUUAAUAAAUUAAUUUAAGGAAUUAAGCAAAAUUUAAAAUUCACUUGUUUAUCAAAAACAUGUUUUUUUGAAAUUAAUAAAAAAUUUUCUCUGCCCAAUGAUGUAUUAAAUGGCCGCAGUAAUUUGACUGUGCAAAGGUAGCAUAAUAAAUAGUUUUUUAAUUGAAGACUUGAAUGAAUGAGAGGAUGAAAUUUUAACUGUCUCAAUUUAAUUAUAAAAUUUUAUUUUAAGUUAAAAUUCUUAAAUUAUUUUAAGGGACGAGAAGACCCUAUAGAAUUUAAAAAUUUAGAUUAUUUUAUAAAUUAAAAUUAGAUUUAAUUUAAUUAAAAAUUUUUUUAUUGGGAUGAUAUUUAAAUUUAAUUAACUUUUAAUUUUUAAAUUCAAAAAUUAAUGAAUUAUUGAAUAAUUUAAUUGUAAAAAGAUAAAAUUACCUUAGGGAUAACAGCGUAAUAAAUUUUUAAAGUUCAAAUUAAAAAAUUUGAUUGCGACCUCGAUGUUGAAUUAAAAUAAAAUUUAAGUGAAGAAGCUUAAAAUUUAAGUCUGUUCGACUUUUAAAAUUUUACAUGAUUUG